Molecule: ribosomal RNA, 242 nt
Filed under: uncultured bacterium
Lineage: Bacteria
Description: partial 16S ribosomal RNA
Rfam family: Bacterial small subunit ribosomal RNA
Source: RNAcentral
CGACCGGCGCACGGGUGAGUAUCGCGUUUGUAACCUACCUUUAACUGGAGAAUAGCCCGAAGAAAUUCGGAUUAAUACUCCAUAACACUAUGAUCUGGCAUCUUUCUAUAGUUAAAGCUCCGGCGGUUAAAGAUGGACAUGCGUAACAUCAGUUUGUUGGUGAGGUAACGGCUCACCAAGACUACGAUGUUUAGGGGGUCUGAGAGGAUGGUCCCCCACACUGGUACUGAGACACGGACCAG